RNAcentral lists this ribosomal RNA (403 nucleotides) under bacterium. RNAcentral describes it as "partial 16S ribosomal RNA". It matches the Rfam family "Bacterial small subunit ribosomal RNA", at positions 355 to 776 of the family's 1533-position model. The record is from RNAcentral.
UGGGGAAUAUUGCACAAUGGAGGGAACUCUGAUGCAGCGACGCCGCGUGAACGAAGAAGGCUUUCGAGUCGUAAAGUUCUUUUAUAUGGGAAGAUAAUGACGGUACCAUAAGAAAAAGCCCCGGCUAACUACGUGCCAGCAGCCGCGGUAAUACGUAGGGGGCUAGCGUUAGCCGGAAUCACUGGGCGUAAAGGGUUCGCAGGCGGAAAUGCAAGUCAGGUGUAAAAGGCAGUAGCUUAACUACUGUAAGCAUUUGAAACUGCAUAUCUUGAGAAGAGUAGAGGUAAGUGGAAUUUUUAGUGUAGCGGUGAAAUGCGUAGAUAUUAAAAAGAAUACCGGUGGCGAAGGCGGCUUACUGGGCUCAUUCUGACGCUGAGGAACGAAAGCGUGGGUAGCAAACAGG